Molecule: ribosomal RNA, 273 nt
Filed under: uncultured prokaryote
Description: partial 16S ribosomal RNA
Rfam family: Bacterial small subunit ribosomal RNA
Source: RNAcentral
UACGGAGGAUCCAAGCGUUAUCCGGAAUUACUGGGCGUAAAGAGUUGCGUAGGUGGCAUGGCAAGUUGAUAGUGAAAGCGUGUGGCUCAACCACAUAUCCAUUAUCAAAACUGCCAAGCUAGAGGAUGAGAGAGGUACCUGGAAUUCCUAGUGUAGGAGUGAAAUCCGUAGAUAUUAGGAGGAACACCGAUGGCGUAGGCAGGGUACUGGCUUAUUCCUGACACUAAGGCACGAAAGCGUGGGUAGCAAACGGGAUUAGAAACCCAGUAGUCC